GGGCAGGCAGGGGGCACUUCCCGAGGAACAGCCUGACCCCAGGCAGAUCUCCUACAGCCAGGCCCAGCAGCCCCCCGAGGCUCUGCUUGGGGUAUGGACCCAGCCUCCUGGCCAGCCUGCGGGAGCCUCAGAGUUAAAGGCGGCCAGGCUGGACGAACGGACUGUGAGCUGGCUAGAUCACUAGGCUCAGCAGGUAGCGAUCGACGGCUCGAUAUCUGGAGUGCCACGGGGUCAGUCUUCUUUAACACUCUGGAGGGGCUGGUUGCACCCUCAGCAAGUUCCCGGAUGGCACUACGCUGGGGGAGAGGCAGAUCCGCUGGGGGGCGGCGAUAGGGCCCAGAGUGACCUGCACAAAUCGGAGGACUGGGCUAAAAGAAAUUCGAGGAGGUUCCCCAAGGACAAGUGCAGGCUGGGGACCGCGGGGCGAGCAGCCGUUCGGCAGAAAAGGCGCUGGGGGUUCCAGCGGAGGAGAAGAUGGAGAGCAGUCGACAGGGCGCCCCUGUAGCCAAGAAAGCUUGUAGCUGGGCAGAGCACAGCCUGGCACCCCCUGGCUCCACAGCCCGCCGAGGCGGUAGCAGGCCCCAACACUGGGUGUCCGGGAAGGAGACGAGGGUGAGGACAGACAUGGAGCACAGAGGCGUGGGUCAGAACGCGGCAGAGCGGAGCAGGGCCACCCUGAGGAGGGCCAGGGCCCAAGCUCUCCUGCUCAGUCGUUCUUAGCGGCACCUUUUCAGACUAGCACCUAGAUCCCUUCACCCCCGCAAUCCAGGGCUGCACGCAGAGGCCUCCCAAGUGUUGCUUGGAGCUGGGGAGAUACGGAACGGUUGUCCUGGCUCAGGACAGUGGUUGAGAGUUUCUGAAGUGUCUUUCACACCCAGAAGGAGAAGAAGUUGAAAGUUCACGGGGUGUCCUAACCCCACAACACACAAAUCACCCGGCCGGAUUCGUGGAAGGGUUUUCUUUCCACGCUUUGCUUUGAUGUUGUUGGCCCUUUCGUGAACUGUUUAACUACAACCAGCUUCACUUCCCCAACCAAAAGUCAGUUCAAAGGGGGGCAAAAACCCGACGCUGAUUUCCAAGAAGGUCAAAACGGGACUUUUCGAUAAUGUUGAAGAGAAAAUUUCCAAACAAACGUUGCAAGGAGAAAUUCACGGAGGAGAACCGCUUCCUGCUAACGGGCUCGGUUGCGAGGAAUUGGCGUCUGUCCUGACAAAAACGAGCCAUGUGACGAUUUCCACCGUUCUCCGGAGCAUGCACGUUGGUUAUGACGCGUCAUGGCCGGCGGAAGAGAUUGUCCCACGUGAGUUGCAGUGUGUGGCUAGUUUCACGGGGAAACGCUCCUUGUGCUUUGGUGUGUCCUUCUGCCUGUCCUCGGGAAAACAUUCACCAGCCGUGCUCCUAAUGGCCAAGCAGGUCUCCGCGAUGCUUCGCCCAACGGUUCCAUCCAUGAGCAGUUUCCAUGGGCACCAGGAAAGGAGGCUGGCCUUUCGGGGCACCAGGAAAGGAGGCUGGCCUUUCGCGCCACCGCUGCCAGCAGCAAGAUUCAGGCUGGGAGGGUAAUAGCUCGGGUCUUGCAUCCCUGCAGGGCAGGAGUCGUUGUUCUCUGCAGAACCCUCAGGAGCGCUCCGCUUCGGUGACCUUGCAUACGCCUAGAGACGGUGAGUCCUCACCUGCCCAAGACGGGGCCGUCUACGCUGCAGAAAGGCCUGUGCAGAGGGCCUGGCUCAUCUGGCUUCCAGCUCGCAGGGCUCGUACCAUGGAGCUGAAAUAGCAGUGAGGCCGUUUAGCUUCCUGCUAUUCAUCAGGUGUUGCCUGCCGUCAUCGGGGACCUGCCCCUUAGGCUGGGGCAGCAGAGGGGCCGCCCUUCCCCAAACACACCAGCGUUGAGGCAGCGUGGUUCAAGCCAUAUUUCCACGGACACUCGUAGCCAGACGUACUUCUCCGGCCCUGUUCCCGCACUACCUGAGCGCCUCGUGGUGGGUAGGGAAGGGCCAUCGAGCCCCCAUUACAGAUGGGGAACUAAAGCCCAGAUUCUCAAGGGCCCAUAGGCUCCAAACUUGCCCUGAAGUCACUACUAGAGUGAGGUAUUAAGAGACUUGCCCAAGGUCACACGGAAGCCUGUGGCAAAGCAGAG
This is a non-coding RNA of Pelodiscus sinensis (Chinese soft-shelled turtle), 2134 nucleotides long. The record is from RefSeq and is a predicted model, not a curated record. Lineage: Eukaryota; Metazoa; Chordata; Testudines; Trionychidae.